GGGGGACCUUGGGCCUCAUGCCAUCAGAUGUGCCCAGAUGGGAUUAGCUAGUAGGUGGGGUAACGGCUCACCUAGGCGACGAUCCCUAGCUGGUCUGAGAGGAUGACCAGCCACACUGGAAUUGAGACACGGUCCAGACUCCUACGGGAGGCAGCAGUGGGGAAUAUGCACAAUGGGCGCAAACCUGAUGCAGCCAUGCCGCGUGUGUGAAGAAGGCCUUCGGG
RNAcentral lists this ribosomal RNA (224 nucleotides) under Klebsiella sp. 6-11-8. Its description in RNAcentral is "partial 16S ribosomal RNA". It matches the Rfam family "Bacterial small subunit ribosomal RNA", at positions 198 to 422 of the family's 1533-position model. The record is from RNAcentral. Lineage: Bacteria; Pseudomonadati; Pseudomonadota; Gammaproteobacteria; Enterobacterales; Enterobacteriaceae.